Molecule: ribosomal RNA, 669 nt
Filed under: uncultured bacterium
Lineage: Bacteria
Description: bacterial SSU rRNA
Rfam family: Bacterial small subunit ribosomal RNA
Source: RNAcentral
ACUCCUACGGGAGGCAGCAGUAAGGAAUAUUGGUCAAUGGGGGCAACCCUGAACCAGCCAUGCCGCGUGCAGGAAGACGGCCCUCUGGGUUGUAAACUGCUUUUAUCCGGGAAUAAACCCCCUUACGUGUAAGGGGCUGAAUGUGCCGGAAGAAUAAGGAUCGGCUAACUCCGUGCCAGCAGCCGCGGUAAUACGGAGGAUCCAAGCGUUAUCCGGAUUUAUUGGGUUUAAAGGGUGCGUAGGCGGCCUGUUAAGUCAGGGGUGAAAGACGGUGGCUCAACCAUCGCAGUGCCUUUGAUACUGACGGGCUUGAAUACACUUGAAGUAGGCGGAAUGUGACAAGUAGCGGUGAAAUGCAUAGAUAUGUCACAGAACACCGAUUGCGAAGGCAGCUUACUAAGGUGCAAUUGACGCUGAGGCACGAAAGCGUGGGGAUCAAACAGGAUUAGAUACCCUGGUAGUCCACGCCCUAAACGAUGAAUACUCGAUGUUAGCGAUAUACAGUUAGCGUCUAAGCGAAAGCGUUAAGUAUUCCACCUGGGGAGUACGCCCGCAAGGGUGAAACUCAAAGGAAUUGACGGGGGCCCGCACAAGCGGAGGAGCAUGUGGUUUAAUUCGAUGAUACGCGAGGAACCUUACCCGGGCUUGAAAGUUACUGAAGUAUCCAGA